This 497-nucleotide ribosomal RNA is filed under the name uncultured bacterium. Its description in RNAcentral is "bacterial SSU rRNA". It matches the Rfam family "Bacterial small subunit ribosomal RNA", at positions 17 to 518 of the family's 1533-position model. The record is from RNAcentral.
UUCUGGCUCAGGAUGAACGCUGGCGGCGUGCCUAACACAUGCAAGUCGAGCGGAGAGGUUGCGGAGAUUCAAUCGAUGAUCUGCUUCUCUAGCGGCGGAUGGGUGAGUAACACGUGGGUAACCUGCCCUGCACUGGGGAAUAACAGUUGGAAACGACUGUUAAUACCGCAUAUGCGCACGGGGUCGCAUGACCCCGGGCGGAAAGAUUUAUCGGUGCAGGAUGGGCCCGCGUCGGAUUAACUGGUUGGUGAGGUAAUGGCCCACCAAGGUGAUGAUCCGUAGCCGACCUGAGAGGGUGACCGGCCACAUUGGGACUGAGACACGGCCCAAACUCCUACGGGAGGCAGCAGUGGGGGAUAUUGCACAAUGGGCGCAAGCCCUGAUGCAGCGACGCCGCGUGAAGGAAGACGUAUUUCGGUAUGUAAACUUCUAUCAGCGGGGAAGAAGAUGACGGUACCCGACUAAGAAGCCCCGGCUAAUUACGUGCCAGCAGCCGC